GAUGAACGCUGGCGGCGUGCUUAAUACAUGCAAGUCGAACGGAGUAUGUAGCAAUACGUACUUAGUGGCGAACGGGUGAGUAAUGCGUUGGUGACCUGCCCCAAAGCGUGGGAUACCAGUUCGAAAGGACUGCUAAUACCGCAUGUGAUCAUAGAGAUUGGAAGCUUUAUGAUGAAAGGAGUAACAUUCACUUUGGGAGGGGCCUGCGUCCCAUCAGCUAGUUGGUAAGGUAACGGCCUACCAAGGCGAUGACGGGUAGGGGACCUGAGAGGGUGACCCCCCACACUGGCACUGAAACACGGGCCAGACACCUACGGGUGGCUG
This 324-nucleotide ribosomal RNA is filed under the name uncultured Chloroflexota bacterium. Its description in RNAcentral is "bacterial SSU rRNA". It matches the Rfam family "Bacterial small subunit ribosomal RNA", at positions 28 to 351 of the family's 1533-position model. The record is from RNAcentral. Lineage: Bacteria; Bacillati; Chloroflexota.